RNAcentral lists this long non-coding RNA (3362 nucleotides) under Homo sapiens (human). RNAcentral describes it as "HSALNT0269153". Lineage: Eukaryota; Metazoa; Chordata; Mammalia; Primates; Hominidae. The record is from RNAcentral.
AGUAAUUAAAAAAAGUUACUUAUAUUUAUCUAUUUAUGGCAAUAUUUCUGACCUUGAAUUUAUGGAAGUGUUAUAGGUUUUCCUUCUAUCCCUCCCAUCAGCAGCCACAGUGAUCCUCCCAGUAAAUCUGCCCAUAUAUCACACUGCUGCUGAAUACAUUCCCGCAGCUCCCGGUUACUUACAGGCUAAAAUUCAAACUCCCGCUCAUACAGCCCUCCAUGAGCUGGCUGCUGGCCCUCUGCCAGCCUCUGUUACAGGAUAUGCUUGUCAUUCCGCACUUCUUCUGCAGGGACACUCUCCUUCCUCCCUUUUCACCUGGUGAACUCCUACUCAACCAUCAGGACUUAGCUGAGGGGCACCAUCUCUGUGAAGCGACCCCUGGCCAUGUCCGGCUUAGGUGGCCCUCUCAGAUUCUCCCACAGCCCUGAAUGUCCUCAGCCAGGCGCUGUCCCACCUGAUCACAGCUGCCUGCUCUCCUCUUGCACCCCCAUGGGCAGUGAGCUCUGCCCUUUAUUUCCAGAGUAAUCUUUGAAGAAAGCGGUCAUGUCCUCCCUCCCUUACUUGCCCCAUCUGAGUCAGAUGAGAGGUAAAGUCUUGCCAGGACCUAUGAGCUGUGCCCUGUUGGACACCUGCCUUCUUUUUGACCUCAUCUCCUUUCACAGGCUCCCCUUCCUCCCAGCUUGUUCAUCGUGAUCCACUCACACCAGCAGCUUGAAGUUCCUCAAACUCGGCGCUCAUGCUUCCACCUCCUGGCAUUUGCACUUUCUUCUCUGCUGCCUGGAACAAUCCUCCACAGAUGACACAGUGCUGUUUAUGUUGGCCAGCACCCAAUAAGCAAAUAAUGGGAAAUUGAUUAUUGAUUAUUUCCUCAUUCCCAAGUGAAAAGGAGAAAGGUAUCUCUAUUGGAGAUGAACGCAUGUUCAAUACACGUGGCCUGCCUGAGUCAUUAGCAAAGUGUCCAACAACUCUGAGAUAAAUCGUCAUUUUAUGGAAUGCCACAGGAAGAAGUUUUCUUUACAAGUUCUGAAGACUUGUGAUGAAUGAGUCCAUAGUUUCACCUUUGAAAAUGUCCCUGGGAGUGUCAACCCCAUCACUUUUACUUAUAUUACACUCAUAAUCAGUUCAUCUCGCCAAGAAAAAUAAUAUUAUCCUCAUGCCCAAACUUGUGACUUGAUUUGAAAACCAGUAAAUCAGAAAUAAAACUUCCCAUGUGUUUUUUUCCUACAUGAAUCCAAGUGACUCAGAUAUUGUGUUAUUCAAUAAGACUAUUACCAUGACUCAGAACUUCCCGGAAUGGAAUCACGGCUCAAAGAAUCCCACAAGGAAAGACAAGCAAGUGAGCGUGAAAAGCCAGAUGUGAAAGGCAGCAGAAAUGCUUCACGUGAAGCAAAGACACCCAACGGAAGCAUUGGAUUCCAAGACAUUGAAUUCCUUGAAAGGAGAGAUUUAAAAGUACCUAGAAUACAACCUUCCAUAUGACAUUUAUUAAAAUUGGACAACUAUACUUUGAGAAAAUGAUUGAUAUGAAUUACAGUGUGAUUGACCUAUGGUCUCAGAUCCAAACCGUAAACCCUACACAUUCCCACGGCUAAUCGUUUUAGGAAUAGACCAAUCCCCAGAUAGUAAGUGAAGACUCAAUGGAUUUUGGAAGUCAGUUUGGCACAAAGACCCUGGAACAGCUUCCGGGGCUAGAGGUGGAGUUUCCUGUUGCUGAGGUGGAAGAUCACGAGACAAUCAAGAAACAUGCCUCUUCCAUGGCUUGAGGUCAAGUCUAAGCUUGCUCAGUAUCUGUUACUCUCUGAUUGAACUUCCCUUUAAUUCUCCCAUCAGCCAAGCUUUGUCUCUGAGGUCUUAUAGGAAGUUUUUGGCAAAGUGGCAGAGGUGGUGAAGGACAUCAUGAAAAACCUGGAGCCAAUGAAGCAGAAAGACUUAUUCUGGAAUACAUGGUGUGGCAUCCUAGAAAACUCUAGAUAUGACAGGCUGAUUUUUCCAGCAAUGAGUAACAGCAGGGGCCAUCCGUUUACUUCAAGGGAAAACUCUCCUCCCCAUGUGCAGCUGGUCUGACCCGGUUCUGCAGCAGGACAAUUUGCCAAGACUUUGAUGCAGAAAAUUCCCUUAAGGGGACUUAUUUGGUCCGUGUAGACAAUUCUUCAGGAGUUGCAGAGAGAAAAAUAACAUGCCAGAUUUUGGGGUCACAGUGCCAUCUGCUGAAGAAAGGAGUGUUGCUCGAACAAUGAGUCCACAUGAUCACAAUUUGCGGCAGAAUGCUAUGUCCUUACAUGGUAGAAGAACAGAAGAGAAUGAACCUUGAUAUGGUUUGGCUGUGUCCUCACCCAAAAUCUCAUCUUGAAUUGUAAUCCCCAUAAUCUCCAUGUGUCAAGGGAAAGACCAGGUGGAGAUAAUUGAAUCAAGGGGGCGGUUUCGCCUACUCUGUUUUCGUGAUAGUGAGUGAGUUCUCACGAGGUCUGAUGGUUUUGUGUUUGGUAGUUCUUCCUGCAUUUAUUCUUGAUCUUGCCGCCCUGUUAAGAAGGUGCCUUGCUUUCCCUUCACCUCCCGCCAUGAUUGUAAGGUUCCUGAGGCCUCCCCAGCCAUGUGGAACUGCGAGUCAAUUAAACCUCUUUCCUUUCUAAAUUACCCAGUGUUGGGCAGUUCUUUAUAGCAGUGGGAGAAUGGACCAACACAAACUCGUUCCCUCAAGCCCUUCUAUAAGAGACCCAAUCCCAUUCUUGAGGGCUCUGUCCUCAGACUUAAAGACCCCCGCCUCAUUGUAAAACCACAUUGGCCAUUAAAUUUCAACUACGAACUCUGGAGGACACAUUCAAAUCAUAGCAGCUUCCUUGAUGGGAGUAACAUAGACGCUGAGUCUUAAGGAUAGGCAGACGGUAGAAUGCAGCUGGCUGAACAAUAGGAGAAAGGCAUCAUAGGCAGCAGGAAAAGCAAGUGCAAAGGCCCUGAGGCAGGAGGGAGCGUGUAGCAUUCACAGAAUGGAGGCCCAAGAGGGUGAAGCACAGUGAGUGAGGGGAAAGAUGGUCCAAAACAAGGUCAGGGAGGGAGGCUAGGCCCUGGUAAGAAAUUUAAGUGCAAUGGGAAAACAAUGAAACAUUUCAAACAGCGUUAUGGAAAAACCAUUUGCAAAAUUGUUUAGCUAAAUACAAACUGACAGUACUUAACAUUACCCAGCACAGUAAGAUUCAAAAGAAGUGCAAAAUAUUCGGAAGGUGGAUUUGAAUGAUUUAAGUCUGGGGAACACUGUCAUGUUCCUCGGGUGCCCUCUGCAGGCGCCAAACCAAAUUGCUGCGUGAUCCUGGGGAUUUGCUCCUUCUUGCCUCUCACUCCUCAUGGCCAGCAUGGAAGAGGAAUCU